RNAcentral lists this ribosomal RNA (796 nucleotides) under uncultured bacterium. RNAcentral describes it as "bacterial SSU rRNA". It matches the Rfam family "Bacterial small subunit ribosomal RNA", at positions 116 to 918 of the family's 1533-position model. The record is from RNAcentral.
CGUAGGAAUCUACCUGGUAGUGGGGGACAACUUGGGGAAACUCAAGCUAAUACCGCAUACGCCCCAUGGGAAAGCGGGGGACCUUCGGGCCUCGCGCUAUCAGAUGAGCCUGCGUUGGAUUAGCUAGUUGGUGGGGUAAAGGCCUGCCAAGCGACGAUCCAUAGCUGGUCUGAGAGGAUGAUCAGCCACACUGGGACUGAGACACGGCCCAGACUCCUACGGGAGGCAGCAGUGGGGAAUAUUGCGCAAUGGGCGAAAGUGACGCAGCCAUGCCGCGUGUGUGAAGAAGGCCCUAGGGUUGUAAAGCACUUUCAAUUGGGAGGAAAGGUUGCAGGUUAAUACCCUGUAGCUGUGACGUUACCUUUAGAAGAAGCACCGGCUAACUCCGUGCCAGCAGCCGCGGUAAUACGGAGGGUGCGAGCGUUAAUCGGAAUUACUGGGCGUAAAGCGCGCGUAGGGGUUUGUUAAGUCAGCUGUGAAAGCCCCGGGCUCAACCUGGGAAUUGCAGUUGAUACUGGCCGACUAGAGUACGAGAGAGGGAGGUAGAAUUCCACGUGUAGCGGUGAAAUGCGUAGAUAUGUGGAGGAAUACCGGUGGCGAAGGGGCCUCCUGGCUCGAUACUGACGCUGAGGUGCGAAAGGUGGGGAGCAAACAGGAUUAGAUACCCUGGUAGUCCACGCCGUAAACGAUGUCUACUAGCCGUUGGGGAACUUGAUUUCUUAGUGGCGCAGUAACGCACUAAGUAGACCGCCUGGGGAGUACGGCCGCAAGUUAAAACUCAAAUGAAUUGACGGGG